AUCCAGCUGACGAGUCCCAAAUAGGACGAAGUGACGCGCUCCCUACAU
Molecule: non-coding RNA, 48 nt
Organism: Schistosoma mansoni
Lineage: Eukaryota; Metazoa; Platyhelminthes; Trematoda; Strigeidida; Schistosomatidae
Source: Rfam